UUAAAAAUAAGUUGGAUCACAUCCAAGGUUAUUUCUGGAACAUUGAAGCUAUAAUUUUUUAUGAUAUGCUUUCCUAAAUGGGGAAUAAAAGGAUGGUAUACAUUUAGAGGUAGGAAUUUCAAAAUUAUGUUUACACCUUAGGAGCAGGUUCCUGUGACUGUUAUCUGAGCCAUCUACUAUGGUGACAAGAAAGGCAGAUAAUUAUUUUUUAAUCUGUGCAUCAACUCUUCUUUAAGGAAAUCCAAGGUGUUUUUGUUUGGGGGUACAGAAAUAUUUGGCAUCAAAUAUUAAACAUUUACUGUAUGUCAAAAUCUUGCCUACAGCCUUGCAAACUGGGUCUUGNNNNNNNNNNNNNGUAGUUAAGAAAACUGAAGCUGAGUGAAAGCCAGUGACUUGUGAACACUACACAGCUAAUAAGCAGUAGAACUGGGAAUCAGCUAGAAUCAUCCCACUCUAAAGCUUACGGUCACGUCACAAAAAUAGUGAUGCACCGUAUCAAGAUAUAUGUCAUCCAUCUUUGGGGGCACCCGUCCCUGUCCUGGGCUCUCAAACCCUCCCUAAGUGAGACUGACUCGGAGUUAGAUCGGGUGAGCCAGGAACCUAACGUGAAAGGCUGAAGGAAAGAAAGAAGGGAGGGAAGGAGGGCAUGGGAACAGGAGGGGCUGGCGGGGACCCAGAAGAGCAGCAGUCCCUGCCCCACUCCACCCCGGGUGCAUUUCAAGUGCAAAAUAACUCCGCAGGGGCAGCAAUUACGUGGGGCAGGCGUGUGCCUCUCUGUAAGUGCAUAGGUGGGAGCCCAUCUCACAGGUCAAUUUCUCCUCCACUUUAUGGGCUGUAACAUGCUGUGCACAUCACGGUUCUUCAGGACAAAUGCAUUUCAGAAGAAAAAUUAGUCUUGAACACUGAAACUUGCAACCAUGUAUAUUUUACCAAACGUCAAUCCCUAUUUGCUGCCUGAUUUGAGUGAGUCUGAUUCAUUAUGCAGUUUCAAGCCUGAGAAAGUUCUUUCAAAUAGAAAAAGAAAAAAGAAAAAGUGACUUGUCCCAAAUCUUGGACCACAUGCAGUUUCCAGAAGUAUAAUUUAAGUCAUUUUCCAUCAUUCACUUAUAAUUUUGCUUUCUACUCUCCUGCUUCCAGCUAGGUUACAACCUCCUGGCCAUAAGAAAAAUUGCCUCAAGUCUUACCUUAAUUCUCCCAUUUUCAGAUAAUUUCAGAUAAGAGCACAUAUUUGUUUGAGAGUCUACUGUACUAUUCUCCUUUCUCUGACUAAAUGUUAGACUAAUUUUUUUUUAUUUCAAAUUUCUCUUCAAACUGUGACACUCUUCACUAAUGAUUAAGUAUAAUAUUACUUAUGAUCAUGUAAGAGGAUCCUUCUAGAUGCAAAAUUUCUCAAGACAGGUAUUUUUUGUCAUGAUUAUCAAAUUAUCCUGAGACCUCUUUUAAAAUAAUAUAAUGUGGUGAAACAAAUUUAAAUUCUGUU
RNAcentral lists this long non-coding RNA (1480 nucleotides) under Capra hircus (goat). Its description in RNAcentral is "lncRNA (ENSCHIG00010019503.1)". Lineage: Eukaryota; Metazoa; Chordata; Mammalia; Artiodactyla; Bovidae. The record is from RNAcentral.